Long non-coding RNA from Pteropus alecto (black flying fox), 1482 nucleotides. RefSeq lists it as uncharacterized. The transcript has 2 exons. The record is from RefSeq and is a predicted model, not a curated record. NCBI's taxonomy places the organism in Eukaryota, Metazoa, Chordata, Mammalia, Chiroptera, Pteropodidae.
GUGCGAGGCAGCAGCCGAACCACCAAGUGCCGCCUCGGACCGCGGCGGAGCGGUUCCCAAAACAGUCGUACUGGUUGGAUCUCUGGCUGUUCUUCCUCGUCGACCUGGUGUUGUUUUUCUUCGUGUACCUUUGGCCCUGAAUGGUUUGCCUAAUAUCUCAAUGAAGAAGUUGGCUCCUGGAAUGGAUUCUGAAAAUGACUACAACUUGAACAAAGAAGACAGACGGGAUUGUGCAACAGAAGAAUUUCACACUCUAAGGGACCUUCCUUCCAUUUUACGCAUCCUUACCUAUCUGGGGGACUAUAUUAAAUGGGUAAGAUCUCACCCAUUCAUAGCUGAGUUCUUUAGACUCUGAUUCGUGUAAGAACUUUUUUCAAACACCUGAUGGCUUUACAGGAGCUGAAUUAAAAUUAUUUAUACAGAAAAAUUUAGUGUAUUCAUUAAGAGUUAUAGUAGUAUGUUUAACAUGUUAAGGGUUGGCCAGGUUUUGGUGGGAUGCAAGUAAUAUAAUGAAUAAGAUGAAGUAUUGAAAAAAAAUAAAUUACUCAAAAGCAAGGGAAGGCUUUGAGAAGUUAAAAGCUAUACAGAAAACGCAGGUCCACAAAGUACUGGCUGUGAGUACCUGUUUAAUUUUUAGAUUAAGUGAGCCUCUGCUGUGGCUGCCAGAUCGAUAGGAUCUUAGAGAAAGUUGGCAAUAUCCAGUAUUGGAAAGCUCUUACCCACAAGCUGCCCCUCCUCCUGUUAAGCUCUUGAACUCAAACAGGAUUGUGUGUCCCAAAUCUAUUUUUUAUUAUUGUGGUUGCAUUAAGAAUGCUCGUGGCCAAAACAUGUUUAUUUUUAUAAUUUCUGUAACUUUCUGAAAUACUUCAGCAGAGUCGGCCUGUUUACUCAUUCAGCAAAUAUGUGAGCACUUACUAUGAGCCAGGUAUGGCAGUGAAAAAAAGAAACCUAGUUUUCAUGGAGCUUACCUUCUCGUUUUUUUAUCUAAAUAUGUUAACAAGAAUUCACAUUUUAAAAGUGCUCAGUUGGUAUUUAAACAGGUCACCUUCCCAGAGCAGCCACCAUAAACCCUUGAGAAGCCAUUCUUAAGAAAAGAAAUUCCUUUAUAAUAACAUGUGAGAAAUAGCCUCUAGUGGUUGAUAUUGGUGACAUUUGAUACAUGUGAAUUGCAUAUGUAUUUUGAGGAUAUUCCCCCUCCAAAUCAAGGCAUAGAUCUGGUAAACUCCACGUCUGCCUUUUCAGUGGCACUUAAGGUUGGAGUGGAAUCUGGAAUGGCUUUUGGAGGAUUUAAACAGCCGAAUAUAAGAUUAACAAUUACGCUUUCAGGGUGUUGUUGCAUCUGUCUAAAGGAAACCUUUUAUGUAAAGGUUGAAGCAUCUAGAGAAACAACUGGGAUUUCCUUGAGUGUGCAAACAUUCUAUGAACUGUUUUUGUGCUGCUUGCUAAUAAUUUUGUCCAAUAAAUGUUUACUGUAUAGCUAAA